CAGCAAGUAGUUUAAGUAAAAUUUAAGUUUUGGAAAUUUAAGAAGAAAAAUUUUUCUUUGCUGA
RNAcentral lists this transfer RNA (64 nucleotides) under Aphrophora sp. EMHAU-2015-Zz062722. RNAcentral describes it as "tRNA-Pro". The record is from RNAcentral. Lineage: Eukaryota; Metazoa; Arthropoda; Insecta; Hemiptera; Aphrophoridae.